This 244-nucleotide ribosomal RNA is filed under the name uncultured bacterium. RNAcentral describes it as "partial 16S ribosomal RNA". It matches the Rfam family "Bacterial small subunit ribosomal RNA", at positions 524 to 762 of the family's 1533-position model. The record is from RNAcentral.
UACGUAGGGUGCGAGCGUUAAUCGGAAUUACUGGGCGUAAAGCGCGCGUAGGUGGUUCAGCAAGUUGGAUGUGAAAGCCCUGGGCGUCAACCCUGGGAACGUGCAUCCAAAACCUAACUGAGCUAGAGUACGGUAGAGGGUAGUGGAAUUUCCUGUGUAGCGGUGAAAUGCGUAGAUAUAGGAAGGAACACCAGUGGCGAAGGCGACUACCUGGACUGAUACUGACACUGAGGUGCGAAAGCGU